This 587-nucleotide ribosomal RNA is filed under the name uncultured bacterium. Its description in RNAcentral is "bacterial SSU rRNA". It matches the Rfam family "Bacterial small subunit ribosomal RNA", at positions 285 to 863 of the family's 1533-position model. The record is from RNAcentral.
AGCCGAGUUGAGAGACUGAUCGGCCACAAUGGGACUGAGACACGGACCAUACUCCUACGGGAGGCAGCAGUAGGGAAUCUUCCACAAUGGGCGCAAGCCUGAUGGAGCAACGCCGCGUGAAUGAAGAAGGUCUUCGGAUCGUAAAAUUCUGUUGUUAGAGAAGAAUAUGAGUAAUAGUAACUGAUUAUUCACUGACGGUAUCUAACCAGCAAGUCACGGCUAACUACGUGCCAGCAGCCGCGGUAAUACGUAGGUGGCAAGCGUUGUCCGGAUUUAUUGGGCGUAAAGGGAACGCAGGCGGUUUUUUAAGUCUGAUGUGAAAGCCUUCGGCUUAACCGGAGAUGUGCAUUGGAAACUGGAAGACUUGAGUGCAGAAGAGGAGAGUGGAACUCCAUGUGUAGCGGUGAAAUGCGUAGAUAUAUGGAAGAACACCAGUGGCGAAAGCGGCUCUCUGGUCUGUAACUGACGCUGAGGUUCGAAAGCAUGGGUAGCGAACAGGAUUAGAUACCCUGGUAGUCCAUGCCGUAAACGAUGAAUGCUAGGUGUUGGAGGGUUUCCGCCCUUCAGUGCCGCAGCUAACGCAAUAA